AGCAUUAGCUGACAGCUGCAUUAAUUUGUAGAGGAAAGUCCGUGCUAGCACUACCUGCGAUGGUAGUAGUGAUCGUGUAUAGCCUAAGAAGCUAUAGCUUAGACGACUAGUGCCACAGAGACGAGAAUUGUGAAACGGGUAAACUCCGCGAGCUAGAAACCCAAAUUUUGGUAGGGGAAUCUUAAUUACUUAAUUGAAGGUAAUUAAGGAGCGUUUUUAACGUUAGAUAAAUUGUCAGCACUGAGUAAUCAGAACAGAACACGGCUUAUUAU
Molecule: RNase P RNA, 272 nt
Filed under: Mycoplasma nasistruthionis
Lineage: Bacteria; Bacillati; Mycoplasmatota; Mollicutes; Mycoplasmatales; Mycoplasmataceae
Description: RNase P RNA component class B
Rfam family: Bacterial RNase P class B
About the family: Ribonuclease P (RNase P) is a ubiquitous endoribonuclease, found in archaea, bacteria and eukarya as well as chloroplasts and mitochondria. Its best characterised activity is the generation of mature 5'-ends of tRNAs by cleaving the 5'-leader elements of precursor-tRNAs. Cellular RNase Ps are ribonucleoproteins.
Source: RNAcentral